AAUAGAUCACAAAUGCAUGGGGCGUCCAAAAACUAUUUUUCACCACUGCACAUACACUGUGUGCAAAAAAAUUAGGCAAGUAUUUUCACAGUAUCAUCAUUUUUAUGCGUAUUUUCCAACUCCCAGGUGUUUAAACCUGAGUGCUUAUUGGAUUUGAACAUAUCAGGUGGUGUGUAUUUGUGUAAUGAGGGAGGGUGCGGCCUAAGGAGAUCAACUCCCUGUAUCAAGGUGUGCAUAACUAGCAGGCAGAUUCUUUUCCUCAGGCAAAAUGGGCUGAAAAAGAGAUUUUACUGAUUCUGAAAAGUCAAAAAAAAACAAUAAAAAAAAAUCU
This is a long non-coding RNA of Sphaeramia orbicularis (orbiculate cardinalfish), 331 nucleotides long. RefSeq lists it as uncharacterized. The record is from RefSeq and is a predicted model, not a curated record. Lineage: Eukaryota; Metazoa; Chordata; Actinopteri; Kurtiformes; Apogonidae. The transcript has 3 exons.